CCUCCUACGGGACGCAGCAGUAGGGAAUUUUCGGCAAUGGGGGGAACCCUGACCGAGCAACGCCGCGUGAAGGAAGAAGGCUUUCGGGUUGUAAACUUCUUUUAAGAGGGAAGAGAAGAAGACGGUACCUCUUGAAUAAGCCACGGCUAACUACGUGCCAGCAGCCGCGGUAAUACGUAGGUGGCAAGCGUUGUCCGGAUUUACUGGGUGUAAAGGGCGUGCAGCCGGGCUGACAAGUCAGAUGUGAAAUCCCGCGGCUCAACCGCGGAACUGCAUUUGAAACUGUCAGUCUUGAGUACCGGAGG
Molecule: ribosomal RNA, 305 nt
Filed under: uncultured bacterium
Lineage: Bacteria
Description: bacterial SSU rRNA
Rfam family: Bacterial small subunit ribosomal RNA
Source: RNAcentral